This 442-nucleotide ribosomal RNA is filed under the name uncultured bacterium. Its description in RNAcentral is "partial 16S ribosomal RNA". It matches the Rfam family "Bacterial small subunit ribosomal RNA", at positions 338 to 795 of the family's 1533-position model. The record is from RNAcentral.
CCUACGGGUGGCAGCAGUGGGGAAUAUUGGGCAAUGGGCGCAAGCCUGACCCAGCAACGCCGCGUGAAGGAAGAAGGCUUUCGGGUUGUAAACUUCUUUUAAGAGGGAAGAGCAGAAGACGGUACCUCUUGAAUAAGCCACGGCUAACUACGUGCCAGAAGCCGCGGUAAUACGUAGGUGGCAAGCGUUGUCAGGAUUUACUGGGUGUACAGGGCGUGUAGCCGGGCUGACCAGUCAGAUGUGAACUCCGGGGGCUCAACCCCCGAACUGCGUUUGAAACUGGUGGUCUUGAGUGUCGGAGAGGCAGGCGGAAUUCCUAGUGUAGCGGUGAAAUGCGUAGAUAUUAGGAGGAACACCGGUGGCGAAGGCGGCCUGCUGGACUGUGACUGACGUUGAGGCCCGAAGGCGUGGGGAGCAAACAGGAUUAGAUACCCCUGUAGUC